UCAUCCCUAUCCAAGCCAUCAUAUACAAAGGUUGAGCACCACUUGUCUAAUGUAUUAGCAAAACUACACAGUAAACCCUGGCACAACCACUGUAAACUGAUGCAGGUAAAGCAGGGGGACCACAGUGGCUCAUGUUCUGCCGUUGCAAGGAAGAGGGCCAUGCCCCCUGCUAAAGAAAAAGGAGAAAGGAAUUUACUAUGGGAAGAAAAAGUGCACUCUACUAUGUCCUGGGAAGGAAAGAUAUCUCACUGAAUACCACUGUCUUCUUCCAAUGACCCUUCCACAGAUGCAUCUCCCAAAUUCAGGCCUGAUCAUGCUGGGCACCACCAAUAAGAGUCAGAUGAAGUACUCCUGACUGGGCACCUGUUUGAGCCUCCUCUUUGUCUGUUUACACUGUCAGAAGACAGAAUGAAUGUGAUCUCAUCCUGAUGCCAGUUUCUCCACAUUACAAAACCACCAUGUAAAAUGGCACAAUUGCUUGUCUCUAAGCAAGGACCAAGACUGAGCACAGCACUUCCUUUUCAACAAAAGAGGUAGAGUGAGCAAAAAUUUUAUCAUGCUCCUCAAAGUUCACUAAAAUCAAGGUCUCAUGAGUUUUGUAAGAUUGGAUGCACUUCAUCCCUAUUUCACUGAUGGGAUAACUGAGACACAAAAAGGGUGCAUGCACAGUGGGAGCAAGGAGUGGCUGAGACUAUUUAGUCUUUUUUUCUGGUUCAGACCACAGGAACACAGGAAAUUAAAGAAUCUGCUUGAUUGCAGUGGUACAAACCAUGAGUCUCAUCCAAGACAUGUACUAACAAGAAGGCUAUCAUUAUUUGCAACAACUGAGAAGAUAAUUAGAAACCUACCAAUGCUACAGUCAUAUUUCCUGUCACAAGAAGACGAUGACACACCAAAAAUGGAUUUAGAAAUCUUUGCUGACAGCAAAAGUGGGAAGAGUAUAGCAUGAACCUCCUCUGAUAUAAUUAUAUUACAAUAUUCAGCAAUCAUGAUUCUAACAUAGCUGUAACAACUGCAUUCCUGAAAGCACAAAGCCUGCAUCUUGUUUCAAUGGAAGCUUUGCCUGAGUAAGGACAGUAGCCCACAGUGUUUUCAGCCUUUGAAGACUACAAUAGCUUAUUUUAGGCCAUGAAUUCAGAUUCUUCACAACCAUCAGAAAAGCCAAAGACUGUAAUAUAACAUUUGGACAAAGUUAAAUAUCUUUAUCUAGGGAUCUACUUUUUUGUUUUUUCUGGCUUUUUUAAAGUUGCAGAAAACUACUUCUGGGAACUGAAUAUGAGAUUUUGUUCUGCUUAUGGUAUUUUCAGUAUAUUUGUUUCUUGCAUGUUAAAUGAAAACAGUAAGCAGAUUUUUAGUGGAUGUAAAUCAGUUUUCUUUAAUGGAACUAUGCCAGUUUACAGUAGCCAAUAGAUCUGGCUCUAGAUCUCAUAUCGCUUUGCUGGGAUGCAUUAAAAAAAUCUAGUAGAAAAAUGUGAACAUAUAGGCUAAGCGCAGACAGUCAGAAAGCCUAAAGCUGAAUUGAUUCAAUCUUUGCAGGUUAGUCU
Long non-coding RNA from Gavialis gangeticus (Gharial), 1544 nucleotides. RefSeq lists it as uncharacterized. The transcript has 6 exons. The record is from RefSeq and is a predicted model, not a curated record. Lineage: Eukaryota; Metazoa; Chordata; Crocodylia; Gavialidae.